AUGGUGGUGGUGGCGACUGCAAGCCCCGGCGGGCCGGAGGCGCUGCAGGUGCACGAGGUCGAGGAUCUCUCGGCGUCGGGGGAGGGCAAGCUGCUUGUCGGGGUGUCCACUGUCGGCGUCAAUCGCGGUGACACAGUCCAGCGGCAGGGCCGAUACCUGCCGCCGGCUGGCGCCUCGCCCUACCUGGGGCUUGAGUGCUCCAGCACCAUCGUCGCGCUCGGGGCCAACACCCCCCGUGCUGGGCUAUCGGUACCAGGUGCCAAGCGUGCCCCCAUGGUGUACGCGCUGCUUACCGGCGACGGGUAUGCGGAGAAGGUUGUGGUUCCGGCGGGGCAGCUUCUACCGAUGACAGAGGGGGGGGGGUCGCUGACUGACAGCCGCCAGCUUGCCCGAGAUGGCCUGCACCGUCUGGUCCACCGUCUUCAUGCUAGUCACCUCUCCCCCGGUGAAUCCUUCCUUAUCCAUGGUGGAUCUAGUGGAAUCAGUACAUUCACUAUACAGAAUGCAAAGCACCUUGGAAAUCCAUGGCCAUCAUACAAAACCAAAUUGUGCCAAUUCACAUGGACUAAGCUUAUAUGUGGUACUUCCAGCCCACAAACUAAACAGACUAGUAGAAUGCCCGUGCGUUGCUACGGGCUAUCAUGCAUAUACUUUAGGAAGCAUCUCUGGUCUGAACUCAUAAAAGCCCACUGUGGUCUUGUGAAUGUCUUCUCCAAUAGGCCCUACAACUUUCCGAAAAUCUCGGCCAAGAAAAAACACUGGUCAUGCCACCAUUAUCUGGACAACUUCUUGCAAGAACAUGAUGGCUGA
Molecule: ribosomal RNA, 810 nt
Filed under: Triticum aestivum (bread wheat)
Lineage: Eukaryota; Viridiplantae; Streptophyta; Magnoliopsida; Poales; Poaceae
Description: partial small subunit ribosomal RNA
Source: RNAcentral